Molecule: ribosomal RNA, 253 nt
Filed under: uncultured bacterium
Lineage: Bacteria
Description: partial 16S ribosomal RNA
Rfam family: Bacterial small subunit ribosomal RNA
Source: RNAcentral
UACGGAGGGUGCGAGCGUUGUCCGGAAUCAUUGGGCGUAAAGGGCGAGUAGGUGGCUUGGUAAGUCUGUGGUGAAAGCGCGGGGCUCAACCCCGCGUCGGCCGUGGAUACUGCUAGGCUUGAGCACUGUAGAGGCAGGCGGAAUUCCGGGUGUAGCGGUGGAAUGCGUAGAGAUCCGGAAGAACACCAGGGGCGAAGGCGGCCUGCUGGGCAGUUGCUGACACUGAAUCGCGACAGCGUGGGGAGCAAACAGG